This 408-nucleotide ribosomal RNA is filed under the name uncultured bacterium. RNAcentral's name for it is "partial 16S ribosomal RNA". It matches the Rfam family "Bacterial small subunit ribosomal RNA", at positions 28 to 526 of the family's 1533-position model. The record is from RNAcentral.
GACGAACGCUGGCGGCGUGCUUAACACAUGCAAGUCGAACGAAGUGGCGAACGGGUGAGUAAUACGUGGGUAACCUGCCCUCCUUUUUGGGAUGAGCCUUGGCAACGGGGUCUAAUACCGUAUAAUGGGGGAGGGGCUCGCGGCCUAUCGGCUGGUUGGUGGGGUGAUGGCCUACCAAGGCGGUGACGGGUAGCCGGACUGAUAGGGUGACCGGCGACAGUGGGACUGAGCUACGGCCUAGACGCGUAAGCGGGGGAGCAGUGGCGGAUAUUGAAGAAUGGGUGAAAGCGCAAUGCAGCGACGCCGCGUGGGGGAUGAGGGCUUUCGGGUUGUAAACCUCUUUCGCAAUCGAACGGGUAGCUAGACAAGAAGCGCCGGCUAACUACGUGCCAGCAGCCGCGGUAAUAC